UUCCUACGGGGGGCAGCAGUGGGGAAUAUUGCACAAUGGGGGAAACCCUGAUGCAGCGACGCCGCGUGAGUGAAGAAGUAAUUCGUUACGUAAAGCUCUAUCAGCAGGGAAGAGAGUGACGGUACCUGAGUAAGAAGCCCCGGCUAACUACGUGCCAGCAGCCGCGGUAAUACGUAGGGGGCAAGCGUUAUCCGGAUUUACUGGGUGUAAAGGGAGCGUAGACGGCGAAGAAAGUCUGGAGUGAAAGCCCGCGGCUUAACCGCGGACCUGCUUUGGAAACUUUUUGGCUGGAGUACCGGAGAGGG
RNAcentral lists this ribosomal RNA (305 nucleotides) under uncultured bacterium. Its description in RNAcentral is "bacterial SSU rRNA". It matches the Rfam family "Bacterial small subunit ribosomal RNA", at positions 336 to 658 of the family's 1533-position model. The record is from RNAcentral.